GCGCAGGCCAUGCCAACCGGACGCGACGGGAUAUGGGGAACACGGUGAUUUUUCCGGUUUCUCACCGUAGCCAACGAAACGGCAGACGAGCCCCCCCAACCGUCUGGUUU
This 110-nucleotide small RNA is filed under the name Rhizobium sp. CECT 9324. RNAcentral's name for it is "Atu_At1". It matches the Rfam family "Rhizobiales sRNA Atu_At1". The record is from RNAcentral. Lineage: Bacteria; Pseudomonadati; Pseudomonadota; Alphaproteobacteria; Hyphomicrobiales; Rhizobiaceae.